This 497-nucleotide ribosomal RNA is filed under the name uncultured bacterium. RNAcentral's name for it is "partial 16S ribosomal RNA". It matches the Rfam family "Bacterial small subunit ribosomal RNA", at positions 28 to 507 of the family's 1533-position model. The record is from RNAcentral.
GAUGAACGCUGGCGGCGUGCCUAAUACAUGCAAGUCGAGCGAACAGACGAGGAGCUUGCUCCUCUGACGUUAGCGGCGGACGGGUGAGUAACACGUGGAUAACCUACCUAUAAGACUGGGAUAACUUCGGGAAACCGGAGCUAAUAACGGAUAAUAUAUUGAACCGCAUGGUUCAAUAGUGAAAGACGGUUUUGCUGUCACUUAUAGAUGGAUCCGCGCCGCAUUAGCUAGUUGGUAAGGUAACGGCUUACCAAGGCAACGAUGAGUAGCCGACCUGAGAGGAUGAUCGGCCACACUGGAACUGAGACACGGCCCAGACUCCUACGGGAGGCAGCAGUAGGGAAUCUUGCGCAAUGGGCGAAAGCUUGACGGAGCAACGCCGCGUGAGUGAUGAAGGUCUUCGGAUUGUAAAGCUCUGUUAUCAGGAAAGAAAAGGUGUGUAAGUAUCUAUGCACGUCUUGACGGUACCUGAAGAGAAAGCCACGGCUAACUACGUG